GACGAACGCUGGCGGCGUGCCUAAUACAUGCAAGUAGAACGCUGAAGAGAGGAGCUUGCUCUUCUUGGAUGAGUUGCGAACGGGUGAGUAACGCGUAGGUAACCUGCCUUGUAGCGGGGGAUAACUAUUGGAAACGAUAGCUAAUACCGCAUAACAAUGGAUGACCCAUGUCAUUUAUUUGAAAGGGGCAAAUGCUCCACUACAAGAUGGAACUGCGUUGUAUUAGCUAGUAGGUGAGGUAACGGCUCACCUAGGCGACGAUACAUAGCCGACCUGAGAGGGUGAUCGGCCACACUGGGACUGAGACACGGCCCAGACUCCUACGGGAGGCAGCAGUAGGGAAUCUUCGGCAAUGGGGGCAACCCUGACCGAGCAACGCCGCGUGAGUGAAGAAGGUUUUCGGAUCGUAAAGCUCUGUUGUAAGUCAAGAACGAGUGUGAGAGUGGAAAGUUCACACUGUGACGGUAGCUUACCAGAAAGGGACGGCUAACUACGUG
This 497-nucleotide ribosomal RNA is filed under the name uncultured bacterium. RNAcentral describes it as "partial 16S ribosomal RNA". It matches the Rfam family "Bacterial small subunit ribosomal RNA", at positions 28 to 507 of the family's 1533-position model. The record is from RNAcentral.